CAGAUCGUAGCUAAAAAUAGGACAGCACCUCCCUUACACCGAGAAGAUGCCUGUGCAAAUCAGGCCGGUCUGA
Molecule: transfer RNA, 73 nt
Filed under: Crystallogobius linearis (crystal goby)
Lineage: Eukaryota; Metazoa; Chordata; Actinopteri; Gobiiformes; Gobiidae
Description: tRNA-Val
Rfam family: tRNA
About the family: Transfer RNA (tRNA) molecules are approximately 80 nucleotides in length.
Source: RNAcentral